GCCAGACUCCUACGGGAGGCAGCAGUGGGGGAUAUUGCACAAUGGGGGGAACCCUGAUGCAGCGACGCCGCGUGGGUGAAGGAGCGUUUCGGCGCGUAAAGCCCUCUCGGCAGGGAAGAAGGAGGACGGUACCUGACUAAGAAGCCCCGGCUAACUACGUGCCAGCAGCCGCGGUAAUACGUAGGGGGCAAGCGUUAUCCGGAUUUACUGGGUGUAAAGGGGGCGCAGACGGCAGCGCAAGCCAGGAGUGAAAGCCCGGGGCCCAACCCCGGGACUGCUCUUGGAACUGCGCGGCUGGAGUGCAGGAGGGGCGGGCGGAAUUCCUGGUGUAGCGGUGAAAUGCGUAGAUAUCAGGAGGAACACCGGUGGCGAAGGCGGCCUGCUGGACUGCGACUGACGUUGAGGCCCGAAAGCGUGGGGAGCAAACAGGAUUAGAUACCCCAGUA
This 446-nucleotide ribosomal RNA is filed under the name uncultured bacterium. Its description in RNAcentral is "partial 16S ribosomal RNA". It matches the Rfam family "Bacterial small subunit ribosomal RNA", at positions 330 to 792 of the family's 1533-position model. The record is from RNAcentral.